Carassius auratus (goldfish) is the source of this 1019-nucleotide long non-coding RNA. RefSeq lists it as uncharacterized. The transcript is spliced from 3 exons. The record is from RefSeq and is a predicted model, not a curated record. NCBI's taxonomy places the organism in Eukaryota, Metazoa, Chordata, Actinopteri, Cypriniformes, Cyprinidae.
AUUACUAGUUUAAUCUUGAGUAUCAGGAGGAAGCAGUGUGUACCUUGGAGUUCAUUCAAAGGUGCUUUGUGGGCAUAAAUCCAGAGAGAGGACCCAAAGCCAAGGGAAAAGUGCCAUCGAAAUAAAAGCAGGACAAGUGAUACAGAAGAAAAUGUGUGGCAGUCAACCCACAUGUUGCCACUCUUCUGUGCAAAUUCCAAUGGAAUUUCUGAAAUUCACACUUUGAAUCCUGGGAUGGAACUUCAUCUGGAGCAUAAUUGUUAUUUGGUUGAUUUUUAUCUGUUUGAUGGAAAGUUUGUAUGACUUCUGCAAGUGCGCGGCUCCUUCCGGUCAGUCAUGCAUCACUUUUUUUUGUAUGACUUGUUUGGCAAUAUUGGUCUAUUCCUUAAUGAUGAUAGCUAUCUGAAAAUGUCUUUGUGGUUUUUAAAGGAUUAGUUCACCCAAAAAUGAAAAUUAAGUCAAUAAUUACUUAUGCCGUUUCACACCCGUAAGAUCUUCGUUCAUCCUCACAACAGACAUUAAGAUGUGGCUCAGUGAAGCGUGCAUUUCUAGCAAGAUCAUUUCUUUUUUUUCAAUGCCCAGAAAGCCUCUAAAACAUUUAAAACAAUUCAUGUGACUACAGUUGUUCAACCUAAAUAUUAUAAAGCGACGUGAAUACUUUUUUUGCCCCCCCCCCCACCCCCAUCUCCCAAAACAACGAUUUUAUUCAACUAUAUCUAGUGAUGGGCGAUCUCAAAACACUGCUUCAUGAAGCUUAGAAGCUUUACGAAUCUUUUGUUUCAAAUCAUUUGCUCAGAACGUGUAUCAAACUGCAAAAGUCACACGAACCAUUGAAAUUUCAAAACACUUAUGACGUAACGAAGCCUCAUUUACUGAAAUCAUGUGACUUUGGCAGUUUGAUAUGCUCUGAUUUGAACUGAAAGAUUAAUAAAGCUUUGAAGCUUCAUGAAGCAGUGUCAUCCAUCACGAGAUACUGUUGAAUAGUCAUUAUUUAGUUUUUUGGCACACAAAAAGUAUUU